GCGAGUGGCGAACGGGUGAGUAUACAUCGGAACGUGUCCUGUAGUGGGGGAUAGCCCGGCGAAAGCCGGAUUAAUACCGCAUACGAUCUGUGGAUGAAAGCGGGGGAUCUUCGGACCUCGCGCUACAGGGGCGGCCGAUGGCAGAUUAGCUAGUUGGUGGGGUAAAGGCCUACCAAGGCGACGAUCUGUAGCUGGUCUGAGAGGACGACCAGCCACACUGGGACUGAGACACGGCCCAGACUCCUACGGGAGGCAGCAGUGGGGAAUUUUGGACAAUGGGCGCAAGCCUGAUCCAGCAAUGCCGCGUGUGUGAAGAAGGCCUUCGGGUUGUAAAGCACUUUUGUCCGGAAAGAAAACCUUCGAGUUAAUACCUUGGGGGGAUGACGGUACCGGAAGAAUAAGCACCGGCUAACUACGUGCCAGCAGCCGCGGUAAUACGUAGGGUGCAAGCGUUAAUCGGAAUUACUGGGCGUAAAGCGUGCGCAGGCGGUUCGCUAAGACAGAUGUGAAAUCCCCGGGCUUAACCUGGGAACUGCAUUUGUGACUGGCGGGCUAGAGUAUGGCAG
RNAcentral lists this ribosomal RNA (566 nucleotides) under soil bacterium Peni-S1T-M1LLLSSL-3. RNAcentral's name for it is "bacterial SSU rRNA". It matches the Rfam family "Bacterial small subunit ribosomal RNA", at positions 91 to 654 of the family's 1533-position model. The record is from RNAcentral.